Molecule: long non-coding RNA, 511 nt
Organism: Neodiprion virginianus
Lineage: Eukaryota; Metazoa; Arthropoda; Insecta; Hymenoptera; Diprionidae
Exons: 3
Source: RefSeq, a predicted model, not a curated record
UCGAACGGUCGCGUCUCUCUCCUCGCUCUCUUACUACUACAGAAUUUCGUUUGAAAACACACGCGAUUGUAAUACAAUCAGUGUCGAGCACCACUAACUAACUACAUCGUGUAAUUAAUUUUACACAUUACAAACUGUUACAAUUUAUAAUUCGUAAUUUGCCUGUCGGAAUGUAAUUAAGUGGAAAUAACCUCGAACACUGCACACAGUGUUGUGAAUUCCGUUGUAAACAUGUGGUGAGAAGUUGUCUACAGUGUUGUUGUUUUUGCAGUGUGUUGCGUAGCUGCAGAACCGAGGCCUUCCAACUUGUUCAUCCUAUUCCUCCGAUCAAAUGGCUCAGAACAGGAUAAUGAAAAUCUGAAACUGCUUCGGUCCAGGCAAUGUGUAUCACCGAAUCACGAAAAAGAUGCAUUCCUGAUGUUUUCGUCCCGCGAAAAAAGAAAAUUCCGAUCCAACUUCAGAUCACGUUCUCAAUUUCGGCGGAGUAUGCGAAGGUAUGCAGAGUUUUAAU